Molecule: ribosomal RNA, 460 nt
Filed under: uncultured bacterium
Lineage: Bacteria
Description: partial 16S ribosomal RNA
Rfam family: Bacterial small subunit ribosomal RNA
Source: RNAcentral
CCUACGGGAGGCAGCAGUGAGGAAUAUUGGUCAAUGGACGAGCGUCUGAACCAGCCAAGUAGCGUGAAGGAUGACUGCCCUAUGGGUUGUAAACUUCUUUUAUAUGGGAAUAAAAUGUUCCACGUGUGGGAUUUUGUAUGUACCAUAUGAAUAAGGAUCGGCUAACUCCGUGCCAGCAGCCGCGGUAAUACGGAGGAUCCGAGCGUUAUCCGGAUUUAUUGGGUUUAAAGGGAGCGUAGGUGGAUUGUUAAGUCAGUUGUGAAAGUUUGCGGCUCAACCGUAAAAUUGCAGUUGAAACUGGCAGUCUUGAGUACAGUAGAGGUGGGCGGAAUUCGUGGUGUAGCGGUGAAAUGCUUAGAUAUCACGAAGAACUCCGAUUGCGAAGGCAGUUCACUGGACUGCAACUGACACUGAGGCUCGAAAGUGUGGGUAUCAAACAGGAUUAGAUACCCCAGUAGUC